UAAACUGUCACCCAGGUUGCAGACCCUCAAGAAUGACUUGUUGAUGUAAGUGACUGAUGGAGGAGAGGGAGGUGACUGAUGGAGGAGGAGAGGGAGGUGACUGAUGGAGGAGGUGGAGAGGGAGGAGGAGAGGGAGGUGACUGAUGGAGGAGGUGGAGAGGGAGGAUAAGAGGGAGGUGACUGAUGGAGGAGAGGGAGGUGGAGAGGGAGGUGACUGAUGGAGGAGGUGGAGAGGGAGGAGAAGAGGGAGGUGACUGAUGGAGGAGGUGGAGAGGGAGGUGACUGAUGGAGGAGGUGGAGAGGGAGGAGAAGAGGGAGGUGACUGAUGGAGGAGGUGGAGAGGGAGGUGACUGAUGGAGGAGGUGGAGAUGGAGGUGACUGAUGGAGGAGGUGGAGAAGGAGGUGACUGAUGGCGGAGGUGGAGAGGGAGGAUAAGAGGGAGGUGACUGAUGGAGGAGAGGGAGGUGGAGGUGACUGAUGGAGGAGGUGAGGGAGGUGACUGAUGGAGGAGGUGGAGAGGGAGGUGACUGAUGGAGGAGGUGGAGAGGGAGGUGACUGAUGGAGGAGGUGGAGAUGGAGGUGACUGAUGGAGGAGGUGAGGGAGGUGACUGAUGGCGGAGGUGGAGAGGGAGGUGACUGAUGGCGGAGGUGGAGAGGGAGGUGACUGAUGGAGGAGGUGGAGAGGGAGGUGACUGAUGGCGGAGGUGACUGAUGGAGGAGGAGAGAGGGAGGUGACUGAUGGAGGAGGUGGAGAGGGAGGUGACUGAUGGAGGAGGUGGAGAGGGAGGUGACUGAUGGAGGAGGUGGAGAGGGAGGUGACUGAUGGAGGAGGUGGAGAGGGAGGUGACUGAUGGAGGAGGUGGAGAGGGAGGUGACUGAUGGCAUAGGAGGAGAGAGGGAGGUGACUGAUGGAGGAGGAGAGGGAGGUGACUGAUGGAGGAGGUGGAGAGGGAGGUGACUGAUGGCAUAGGAGGAGAGAGGGAGGCUUUGAUUUAUUUUGAUUUAUAGAUGUUUAUUAUUUAUUUUUCUAUUUAAUUUUAAUAUUGCAGUGUGCUAAAAGGGAGCGGGCA
Clupea harengus (Atlantic herring) is the source of this 1070-nucleotide long non-coding RNA. NCBI's taxonomy places the organism in Eukaryota, Metazoa, Chordata, Actinopteri, Clupeiformes, Clupeidae. The record is from Ensembl.